GGGCCGUUAGCUCAGUUGGUAGAGCACCGGACUUUUAAUCCGAGUGUCGCGGGUUCGAGCCCCGCACGGCCUACCA
Molecule: transfer RNA, 76 nt
Filed under: Pimelobacter simplex
Lineage: Bacteria; Bacillati; Actinomycetota; Actinomycetes; Propionibacteriales; Nocardioidaceae
Also listed under: 2 other names
Description: tRNA-Lys (TTT) (tRNA-Lys-TTT-1-1)
Rfam family: tRNA
About the family: Transfer RNA (tRNA) molecules are approximately 80 nucleotides in length. Their secondary structure includes four short double-helical elements and three loops (D, anti-codon, and T loops).
Source: RNAcentral